UACGUAGGGUGCGAGCGUUAAUCGGAAUUACUGGGCGUAAAGUGCGCGCAGGCGGCCGAGCAAGUCGAGUGUGAAAGCCCCGAGCUUAACUUGGGAACUGCGCUCGAAACUACUUGGCUAGAGUGUGGCAGAGGGAGGUGGAAUUCCACGUGUAGCGGUGAAAUGCGUAGAGAUGUGGAGGAACACCGAUGGCGAAGGCAGCCUCCUGGGCCAACACUGACGCUCAUGCACGAAAGCGUGGGGAGCAAACAGG
This 253-nucleotide ribosomal RNA is filed under the name uncultured bacterium. RNAcentral's name for it is "partial 16S ribosomal RNA". It matches the Rfam family "Bacterial small subunit ribosomal RNA", at positions 524 to 776 of the family's 1533-position model. The record is from RNAcentral.